This 253-nucleotide ribosomal RNA is filed under the name uncultured bacterium. RNAcentral describes it as "partial 16S ribosomal RNA". It matches the Rfam family "Bacterial small subunit ribosomal RNA", at positions 524 to 776 of the family's 1533-position model. The record is from RNAcentral.
UACGUAGGGUGCAAGCGUUAAUCGGAAUUACUGCGCGCAAAGCGUGCGCAGGCGGUUAUAUAAGACAGAUGUGAAAUCCCCGGGCUCAACCUUGGAACUGCAUUAGUGACUGUAUAGCUAGAGUGCGGCAGAGGGGGAUGGAAUUCCGCGUGUAGCAGGGAAAUGCGUAGAUAUGCGGAGGAACACCGAUGGCGAAGGCAAGCCCCUGGGCCUGCACUGACGCUCAUGCACGAAAGCGUGGGGAGCAAACAGG